CACGAAGUUAGCCGAUCCUUUCUUACAGGGUACAUUCAUUGUGUUGUUCCCCUGCGACAGAGCUUUACGACCCGAAGGCCUUCAUCACUCACGCGGCGUCGCUGCAUCAGAGUUUCCUCCAUUGUGCAAUAUUCCCUACUGCUGCCUCCCGUAGGAGUCUGGACCGUGUCUCAGUUCCAGUGUGACUGAUCAUCCUCUCAGACCAGUUAAAGAUCGUCGCCUUGGUAGGCUAUUACCCCACCAACUAGCUAAUCUUACGCGGACUCAUCUUAGAGCGAAAACCUUUGACCUCUAGAACCUCGGUUCCUGUGGUCUUAUGCGGUAUUAGCUAAUCUUUCGACUAGUUAUCCCCCAUCUAAGGCAGAUUAUCCACGCGUUACUCACCCGUGCGCCACUAGUACCUCAACCCGAAAGCCUUUCCCCGUUCGACUUGCAUGUAUUAGGCACGCCGCCAGCGUUUGUCUGAGUCCAGGAUCAACUCU
Molecule: ribosomal RNA, 482 nt
Filed under: uncultured Bdellovibrio sp.
Lineage: Bacteria; Pseudomonadati; Bdellovibrionota; Bdellovibrionia; Bdellovibrionales; Pseudobdellovibrionaceae
Description: partial 16S ribosomal RNA
Source: RNAcentral